This 60-nucleotide microRNA precursor is filed under the name Octopus vulgaris (common octopus). RNAcentral's name for it is "Ovu-Mir-12508_pre stem-loop". RNAcentral also lists the same sequence under 1 other name. The record is from RNAcentral. Lineage: Eukaryota; Metazoa; Mollusca; Cephalopoda; Octopoda; Octopodidae.
UGGUUUUGUGAGAUGUUCAUUGGUUACAUAAAAUAUUCAGUGACCAUCUCUAAAACUAAC